RNAcentral lists this ribosomal RNA (497 nucleotides) under uncultured bacterium. Its description in RNAcentral is "partial 16S ribosomal RNA". It matches the Rfam family "Bacterial small subunit ribosomal RNA", at positions 28 to 507 of the family's 1533-position model. The record is from RNAcentral.
GAUGAACGCUGGCGGCGUGCCUAAUACAUGCAAGUCGAGCGAACAGACGAGGAGCUUGCUCCUCUGACGUUAGCGGCGGACGGGUGAGUAACACGUGGAUAACCUACCUAUAAGACUGGGAUAACUUCGGGAAACCGGAGCUAAUACCGGAUAAUAUUUUGAACCGCAUGGUUCAAUAGUGAAAGACGGUUUUGCUGUCACUUAUAGAUGGAUCCGCGCUGCAUUAGCUAGUUGGUAAGGUAACGGCUUACCAAGGCAACGAUGCGUAGCCGACCUGAGAGGGUGAUCGGCCACACUGGAACUGAGACACGGUCCAGACUCCUACGGGAGGCAGCAGUAGGGAAUCUUCCGCAAUAGGCGAAAGCCUGACGGAGCAACGCCGCGUGAGUGAUGAAGGUCUUCGGACCGUAAAACUCUGUUAUUAGGGAAGAACAAAUGUGUAAGUAACUGUGCACGUCUUGACGGUACCUAAUCAGAAAGCCACGGCUAACUACGUG